AAACCCAAACCCAUGUUAGGGAAAUUUUGCUUAUUUGUCCACCUCUAACCACAUUCUUGCCAAAUCAUCAUCAAAUAAUAUUAUUUCCAUUCCAUAUUUAGUUUUAUUGCCAUGUUGGAUGCAUGAGUUGGAUGCAAAUUCAAACUUUGAAGAAAAUAAAAGAGUAACUUUUGUCUUUGCCAAUUCAAAUAAUAAAUUUUUACCAUUUUA
Molecule: long non-coding RNA, 210 nt
Filed under: Trifolium pratense (red clover)
Lineage: Eukaryota; Viridiplantae; Streptophyta; Magnoliopsida; Fabales; Fabaceae
Description: long non-coding RNA (TPRA_LNC006224)
Source: RNAcentral